This 695-nucleotide ribosomal RNA is filed under the name bacterium V08. RNAcentral describes it as "partial 16S ribosomal RNA". It matches the Rfam family "Bacterial small subunit ribosomal RNA", at positions 55 to 794 of the family's 1533-position model. The record is from RNAcentral.
ANGCAGUCGAGCGGGCAUUUUCGGAUGUCAGCGGCAGACGGGUGAGUAACACNNNGGGAACGUACCCUUCGGUUCGGAACAACUCUGGGAAACUGGAGCUAAUACCGGAUACGCCCUUAUGGGGAAAGGUUUACUGCCGAAGGAUCGGCCCGCGUCUGAUUAGCUAGUUGGUGGGGUAACGGCCUACCAAGGCGACGAUCAGUAGCUGGUCUGAGAGGAUGAUCAGCCACACUGGGACUGAGACACGGCCCAGACUCCUACGGGAGGCAGCAGUGGGGAAUAUUGGACAAUGGGCGCAAGCCUGAUCCAGCCAUGCCGCGUGAGUGAUGAAGGCCUUAGGGUUGUAAAGCUCUUUUGUCCGGGACGAUAAUGACGGUACCGGAAGAAUAAGCCCCGGCUAACUUCGUGCCAGCAGCCGCGGUAAUACGAAGGGGGCUAGCGUUGCUCGGAAUCACUGGGCGUAAAGGGCGCGUAGGCGGCCAUUCAAGUCGGGGGUGAAAGCCUGUGGCUCAACCACAGAAUUGCCUUCGAUACUGUUUGGCUUGAGUAUGGUAGAGGUUGGUGGAACUGCGAGUGUAGAGGUGAAAUUCGUAGAUAUUCGCAAGAACACCGGUGGCGAAGGCNNCCAACUGGACCAUUACUGACGCUGANGCGCGAANGCNNGGGGAGCAAACANGAUUNGAUACCCUGGNNGU